Molecule: non-coding RNA, 161 nt
Organism: Capsicum annuum
Lineage: Eukaryota; Viridiplantae; Streptophyta; Magnoliopsida; Solanales; Solanaceae
Source: Rfam
CACUACCCGCCACUCCUACCAAUUGAAUGAUCUGCUGAAAUGUUCAAAUUGCAACGACAUGGAAAGUUCAUUGCCUGCGACAUCACGAGAAGUCCAUUGAACCUUAUCAUUUAGAGAAAGGAAAAGUCGUAAAAAGGCUUCUAUAAGUGAACCUGUGGAAG